Molecule: long non-coding RNA, 426 nt
Filed under: Homo sapiens (human)
Lineage: Eukaryota; Metazoa; Chordata; Mammalia; Primates; Hominidae
Description: HSALNT0345492
Source: RNAcentral
UGUUAGGAGGGGGAGACACCAGAGCACCAACUUCUCUCACUUAAACCUUAUGACAACCUUAAGAAGUAGGCAGCAUGAUCCCCUUCUUGGAAAUGCAGAAAGAGAGAAUGGGGGAGAUUGAGAGGCUUGCAGAAUGUGACAUCAUUAGGGAGAACAGUGGUUGAGGUCCAGCAGCUCCUGCAGAUGGGUGGUGGUGGAAGGAGGAGAGAAUGGGCCACAGGCAGGCCAAGGGCAAGCUUAGCAGCACUCAACAUCCUCCAUGAACUCAACAGAAGUCAAGAAUGCAGGCAGCUCAUGAUGAAGACCUGCAGCGGCCCAGGUUUACCAAGCUCAUUCACAAUUGCAGUUGGAGAAUUCGUCUUUGGUCAUUUUCUACUUUGGAAAUACGAAGAGAAGCAGAUGAAUGGGAGUACUGAUGCCAGCUUU